UACGUAGGGGGCAAGCGUUGUCCGGAUUCAUUGGGCGUAAAGAGCGUGUAGGCGGCCAGGUAGGUCGGUUGUGAAAACUGGAGGCUCAACCUUCAGAGGUCGACCGAAACCAUCUGGCUAGAGUCCGGGAGAGGGUAGUGGAAUUCCCGGUGUAGUGGUGAAAUGCGUAGAUAUCGGGAGGAACACCAGUGGCGAAGGCGACUACCUGGCCUGUUCUUGACGCUGAGGCGCGAAAGCUAGGGGAGCAAACGGG
This 253-nucleotide ribosomal RNA is filed under the name uncultured bacterium. RNAcentral's name for it is "partial 16S ribosomal RNA". It matches the Rfam family "Bacterial small subunit ribosomal RNA", at positions 524 to 776 of the family's 1533-position model. The record is from RNAcentral.